GAUGAACGCUGGCGGCGUGCCUAAUACAUGCAAGUCGAGCGAACGGACGAGAAGCUUGCUUCUCUGAUGUUAGCGGCGGACGGGUGAGUAACACGUGGAUAACCUACCUAUAAGACUGGGAUAACUUCGGGAAACCGGAGCUAAUACCGGAUGAUAUUUUGAACCGCAUGGUUCAAAAGUGAAAGACGGUCUUGCUGUCACUUAUAGAUGGAUCCGCGCUGCAUUAGCUAGUUGGUAAGGUAACGGCUUACCAAGGCAACGAUGCAUAGCCGACCUGAGAGGGGGAUCGGCCACACUGGAAGUGAGACACGGUCCAGACUCCUGCGGGAGGCAGCAGUAGGGAAUCUUACGCAAUGGGCGAGAGCCUGACGGAGCAACGCCGCGUGAGUGAUGAAGGUCUUCGGAUCGUAAAACUCUGUUAUUAGGGAAGAACAUAUGUGUAAGUAACUGUGCACAUCUUGACGGUACCUAAUCAGAAAGCCACGGCUAACUACGUG
Molecule: ribosomal RNA, 497 nt
Filed under: uncultured bacterium
Lineage: Bacteria
Description: partial 16S ribosomal RNA
Rfam family: Bacterial small subunit ribosomal RNA
Source: RNAcentral